This is a long non-coding RNA of Cyprinus carpio carpio, 474 nucleotides long. NCBI's taxonomy places the organism in Eukaryota, Metazoa, Chordata, Actinopteri, Cypriniformes, Cyprinidae. The record is from Ensembl.
GUUUUGGACACCCCUUUCAAUAACAGGCCAGGGACUGGAGGACUACAGUACCUUUCUGCAGAGUUCAAUUCCAAGCCACUUCAACACACCUGCCUCUUCCCCUGGACCAGCUUCAUUCCUUGGACCAGCCCUGGAUUUAACAUCUGGUAUGCCAUCCACAGGAAGAUGAUUUGGGAUCCAGAUGAACCUAUUUUUGACCUUAGUCAUAAUGUGACCCAUAAAAAGAUCAUUCCAAAUAGAGGGGCUUUCCAGCACCAAACACAAAGACUCUCGAGAUACAGCAAAGACAGUGUGACAUCAGCUCUGAGGAACUGGAAGAAGCUGCUGUCAUGUGAUGCUGAGUCAAGAUGAGCUCAUGAAAAACAAGGCACCUGACAUGCAUACUGUCUUACUCCAGAUAUUUGAAGCUUAUUGCCACAUGCUGGGAUGGCUGAUCUGCUCAUCACAUUUGUGCUGAUGUAAUUUACAGGAAAG